This 52-nucleotide transfer RNA is filed under the name Eudyptes schlegeli (Royal penguin). Its description in RNAcentral is "tRNA-Glu". The record is from RNAcentral. Lineage: Eukaryota; Metazoa; Chordata; Aves; Sphenisciformes; Spheniscidae. RNAcentral also lists the same sequence under 1 other name.
ACAACGGCGGCUUUUCAGGCCGCAGGUCUUGGAGAAAAGCCAAGCGGGAAUU